Molecule: long non-coding RNA, 185 nt
Filed under: Monodelphis domestica (gray short-tailed opossum)
Lineage: Eukaryota; Metazoa; Chordata; Mammalia; Didelphimorphia; Didelphidae
Description: lncRNA (ENSMODG00000040613.1)
Source: RNAcentral
GUGAUCUGAAGUGAAGAAUUGGAAGAAAAAAAGCACAUGUGGAGUGACUCCGUCCUCUCUAUCAGGCCUCAGCUUAAAUUCCUGAGUCUUUGAUUCAGAAGUGACCUAAAAUAGGUGGAUAAGAAAACUGAGAAAACAGGGUUAAGUGACAUGCCUGGGUUCACACAGCUAGGAAGUAUCUAAGG